This 252-nucleotide long non-coding RNA is filed under the name Gossypium raimondii (Peruvian cotton). Its description in RNAcentral is "long non-coding RNA (GRAI_LNC003627)". The record is from RNAcentral. Lineage: Eukaryota; Viridiplantae; Streptophyta; Magnoliopsida; Malvales; Malvaceae.
AGGAAAGGGAAGAUAGUGAAGAUGAAAAAGGUGAUGAGGAAGGGGAUGAGUUGGAUUCUCAGGAGAUGGAGGAGGAUUGACCAAACUUUUCAAUUUUUAAUUUUAUUUUGUGAAUAUAAUUAGCUUAGGAUAAUUUUUAUUGCUUUAGGAGUAGCUUUAACAGUAGAUUUCUAUAUAUUUUCUUUCUUUACUAUUUCAAAUUUUCUAUGUAGGAACCGCAAAUGACAGAAGCACGACAUGUACAAGCUUUCA